AGGAGCAUCGAUGAGACUAAUGCUCUAGGACCACAAGAGGGGGAGAAACUACAUCUCAAACCAAAACCUUCAGUUGUUGGAUAAAUGAGUCAUCUCUUUUAUAAAUCCAACAUUUCACUCACUCGUAGGCAAUGUGGGACUUUAAUCACUUACACUUGCACCCAAAAGUAAAGACUAUUGCAGAAUGUCUCAUUCACAUUAAAUUGCUUUAACUAUCAACUUUCCGAUGUUGCUACAUGGUGAA
RNAcentral lists this long non-coding RNA (244 nucleotides) under Lathyrus oleraceus (garden pea). RNAcentral describes it as "Pisum sativum (pea) long non-coding RNA (PSAT_LNC006954)". Lineage: Eukaryota; Viridiplantae; Streptophyta; Magnoliopsida; Fabales; Fabaceae. The record is from RNAcentral.